UGAACGCUGGCGGCGUGCCUAAUACAUGCAAGUCGAACGCUUCACUUCGGUGAAGAGUGGCGAACGGGUGAGUAAUACAUAAGUAACCUGGCAUCUACAGGGGGAUAACUGAUGGAAACGUCAGCUAAGACCGCAUAGGUGUAGAGAUCGCAUGAACUCUAUAUGAAAAGUGCUACGGGACUGGUAGAUGAUGGACUUAUGGCGCAUUAGCUUGUUGGUAGGGUAACGGCCUACCAAGGCGACGAUGCGUAGCCGACCUGAGAGGGUGACCGGCCACACUGGGACUGAGACACGGCCCAGACUCCUACGGGAGGCAGCAGUAGGGAAUUUUCGGCAAUGGGGGAAACCCUGACCGAGCAACGCCGCGUGAAGGAAGAAGUAAUUCGUUAUGUAAACUUCUGUCAUAGAGGAAGAACGGUGGAUAUAGGGAAUGAUAUCCAAGUGACGGUACUCUAUAAGAAAGCCACGGCUAACUACGUG
Molecule: ribosomal RNA, 480 nt
Filed under: uncultured bacterium
Lineage: Bacteria
Description: partial 16S ribosomal RNA
Rfam family: Bacterial small subunit ribosomal RNA
Source: RNAcentral